CCUCUGCGAAGCCGGCACCUCCCAUCAAAAGGCAGGUCUGGGCGUCCGAGGUGUCGUGGAAAAUGUGGGCUUCAGGGGCAGGAAGACCCUCCCGCGCGCAGCGGGGCAAGGAGCUCGCGGGCCCUGGGCCUCCCCCGCCCCCGAAUAAACAAUCCGAACAAAACCUUACCUCGCAGGGCUGUUUUGAGGACUAAAUAAGCUACGGAGAAGCCCCUGGCAAAGCUUCGUGGCCCGUGGCCAGCGAUCCUGCAGUGACCCGGUAAGACACGAUGGGGAGCAGACACGCUUUAGGGCCAGAGAGGCCGGCAGUGAAACGCCAGCUCCACCACUAAGGAGCCGUACAACCCGGGGAAGGGGACCUGACGCCCCCGCGCCCCAGCCUCUUCGGCACGAAGGGGAAACGUGCCCUGUGAACAGGCUCAGACAUCAUCUCUGUACCGCAGGCUCUUAUCAUCAUUUUGCUGUUCCCCGUGACCCCCGGCCGGUGAGGGGCUGGCAGGCUGGCACGGAUGCCCUCCUCGCGGGCAGCAGCCAGGACUCAAAGUCAAGGGCAGGCCAGGGGAAGGCGCAGGGGCUGAGGGGCCAGGGUAGCUGGGUUCCUACAACGGCUCUACGGAGCCCUCCGCCUCCCCCCAGCACCACACGGCGUCCCAGCCAGGCCGAGGCAGCGUGGCCUUGGAACCUCCACCCCCGGCAGGAAGCGCCUCGGGGCCGGGUUUCCAGGGGGAAGGAUCCCCCCUCAAUGCAGGGUGCGGCCCCCGUGUGCACACGGACACCAGUGGUAUAAACCUGCAGAACAGGCACCCAGGGCCUCUUCAGACACAAGACAAGGCUCCCUGAGAAACCCAGCAGGGGCCUGCCCACCCCUGAUGCUAAGGCUUGCCCCCGCAGCGGCUCCCUACAUGUCCUGCCCCACAGAGCUCCUGCACGUGCGGUGUGGGCGGUUAUGGGGAAGGAGCUGGCAUGGGGCCCUCAGGGUAGAGAAAUAAUGGAGGGAGGGAGGUCAGUAGGAUGGGAGUGUCCACUGCCUGGCCUGGCCCAGGGACUGGGUCUAAUUCCUACUCAGAGCAAUAAGGAAAGAGCAGGACAUCUCAUGAUAGGCCUAAGGAGACUCGGGCCCAGGGAUAAGGAGGUAUACGGAAUGUGGGAGAGGGGCUGCCCCUUACGGCCCCCUUCUGCAUGGAAACAGGGGUAGCAAAGUCCUUCCUUUGGGCCUAGGCGUAGCUAGAGGAGGCCAGAGCAGAGUAUCACAGUGGCCUGGCUUCUGAGCACACUGGAGGCGCCUCCUGGGACCCCCAGGGAUGAGGGCAACAGCAAAUGGGGGCCAGAGCGGUGAUGCCUGUGAAUAUGACUCUCCUGAGACCUCGGUGUCUGGCAUUGUGCAGGAGCUGCACAAGCCUGUGCUAAACCAGGAAAUGGGGAGACCUCGUGAAAAUCACCUGAGGGCAGAGGGAGGAGGCCCAUCAACUUUGGCCAAGAGAAGGACAGGAGCUUCAGGGAGAUGGGGUGGGGGCUGCGAUGGGCAGGUGAAGAGGGGAACUGCUUGGCACAAAGCGGGCUGCAGGGAGGGUAGGCGGGUCAUCCGCAGGCAACAGCACAGCCGGGGUCCGUGUCAUAUGUGAAAGUCACACACUCGACCCCAAUGUGUGACCAGUGGUCAAGCUCCUUCCACAAAACUUUCUCUGAUUUGAGGACCAAAGUGAAGCACGAAGGCAGGUCUUCACAAUGUCUGCUAACCAGUGCUUGGUCUUCCUGUAGAACCAAAAUCAAACUCCAAAAAAAUCAAACUCCGAACACAUAGAGCACAAGUGUUCAAAGCUGGGCCAAGCCUCUGACAAAUGAUGGCAGGUGGCCCCCCUGGGCUUCUCAGAUGGCUGCCCUUGAAAUCACUGUGUCAGGCCUGGAAAACUGCCCCAAACUUCCAGAGAGGGAUGGAUAUAGCAGGAACCCCGACUCUCGCAACACUGUCCAAUCUCCGGGUACACGUAGAAAAAGAGGGAUAUUCCUAAUAAUAAAAGCAAUUCACAGGGCUGUAAAAAAAAACCUGCUGUGCCCACACAAUGGAAUACUACUUAGCAAUAAAAAGGACUAAGUCACUGAUAACCAGGACUAAAUGGAUGAACUACAAAAUAAUUAUAGGCUCACAGAAGCCAGAGAGUACAAACUGCAAGAUUCCAUUUACAUAAAAUUUUAGGGAAUUUAAACUGAGUAACGGUGACAGACAGCGCCUCAGGAGUUGCCUCGUAGGAAACUAGUAGGGAUGAGUGAGGGAGGGGAUUACCAAGGGCAUGAUGGAUAUGUCCUGGGGG
RNAcentral lists this long non-coding RNA (2309 nucleotides) under Canis lupus familiaris (dog). Its description in RNAcentral is "lncRNA (ENSCAFG00000058857.1)". Lineage: Eukaryota; Metazoa; Chordata; Mammalia; Carnivora; Canidae. The record is from RNAcentral.